AUGGGCAGGACGCUGGGUCUGAAGCAGAGGCAGGACUUGACCCCGUGCACUCUGAUCUGGGACACGGGCGACCCAAGGGACAGCCCAACCACUGCACCACAGCAUCCACCCCGUGGUGUGUUUUCAAACAGCCGCACCCGUGCUCUGCAGCAGGCCCGCGCUCCUGGGUGUCUCCGCGUCCAUCUGCGUCCUUUGUCCCUCUCCAUGUCCAUCUGUGUCCUUUGUAUUGUUCCUGUCCCUUGGGUGUUGCAUCCUGUAGCUUCUCUUCAUCUCACUCCACCUGUCGGCCCUGGGCUUCUCUCCACACCUGUGCACAUCUGCACACGACCCCUGUGGGCCAGGGGUCGACAAACCCCUUCUGACCGGGUGCAUGGCUUGGCAGGCCACAUGGCGUCUGUCGGAAGCAGUCCUCUGCUACCAUGGUGCGAGUGUGGCCCGAGGCGGCACAGAAGUGAGCAGGCGGCAAGUGUUCCCAUAUUUUCCUUGCAAAACAGGCUGCCAGGCCACUGCCCAGCGCCUGCUGCCCUGCUCCAGCCUCUCCUGGACUCUGGGCACUGCUUCCGGGACGUCUCAGAGGUAGUGGCAGCUCAACUCCACGUGUGUUCCGCCCCGGGCGCCUGGUUUUCUGGGUCCUCCCUCGUGAGCGCCAUCACCAGCUCUGUGGAUGUGGAGCCAGAAGGGAGAUGUGGUCCCGGCUCAUUCUUCCCACUCCCCACUCCCAUCACUCACCAGUCAGUCCCUCCUAAGUCACUUCCCUUAAAACAGUGGGAGACUCCAAGGGCUUGGGCUCCUGCCACACAUGUGGGAGACCCAGACGGAGUUCCUGGCUCCUGGCUUCAGCCGGCCCAGCCCUGGCUGUUUGCCGGCAUCUGGGGAGUGAACCAGCAGAUAGAAGACCUUUCUCAGUCUCUGCGUGUCACUCUCCUUGUCCACUGCUGUCCCCUGGUUCAAGUUGUCCUGAGGGUAGAACAAUCCCCCCUCCUGCCCCAAGCUGUCCCCGUCCCGAUCUCCGGAGCUGUUGCCUUCCAGGGCAGCAGGGACGUUGCUGACAAGAUCGGGGAAGGCUCUCGGACGGGACGCUUACCUGGGCCGUGCAGGGCAUCCAGGGGGCUCAGUGUAGCCACAGGUCAGAGCCAGACCCAGGGCGGGGAAGGGGCCAGGGGAGUGGAGAUUGGAGCGCUCGGCUCCCUUAAGAUGGACGAAGGGCUGGAGCUCACGGAGCACAGGUGGCCCCCACACGCUGGGGCGGAGGGGGUGGAUUUUCCUCCAAGCCUGUGGAAGGAGGCAGCCCUGCCAGCCUCUCACCUUGAGCCCAGAGUGUGA
Molecule: long non-coding RNA, 1323 nt
Filed under: Oryctolagus cuniculus (rabbit)
Lineage: Eukaryota; Metazoa; Chordata; Mammalia; Lagomorpha; Leporidae
Description: lncRNA (ENSOCUG00000037069.1)
Source: RNAcentral